RNAcentral lists this transfer RNA (73 nucleotides) under Fusarium oxysporum. Its description in RNAcentral is "tRNA-Ala". It matches the Rfam family "tRNA". From Rfam's summary of the family: Transfer RNA (tRNA) molecules are approximately 80 nucleotides in length. Their secondary structure includes four short double-helical elements and three loops (D, anti-codon, and T loops). Further hydrogen bonds mediate the characteristic L-shaped molecular structure. tRNAs have two regions of fundamental functional importance: the anti-codon, which is responsible for specific mRNA codon recognition, and the 3' end, to which the tRNAs corresponding amino acid is attached (by aminoacyl-tRNA synthetases). tRNAs cope with the degeneracy of the genetic code in two manners: having more than one tRNA (with a specific anti-codon) for a particular amino acid; and 'wobble' base-pairing, i.e. permitting non-standard base-pairing at the 3rd anti-codon position. Lineage: Eukaryota; Fungi; Ascomycota; Sordariomycetes; Hypocreales; Nectriaceae. The record is from RNAcentral.
AGGGGACAUAAUUUAUUUGGUAGAAUGCUGACCUUGCAUGUUAGAAGGCUCGGUUCGAAUCCGAGUGUCUCCA